RNAcentral lists this ribosomal RNA (496 nucleotides) under uncultured Massilia sp. Its description in RNAcentral is "partial 16S ribosomal RNA". Lineage: Bacteria; Pseudomonadati; Pseudomonadota; Betaproteobacteria; Burkholderiales; Oxalobacteraceae. The record is from RNAcentral.
CACGUAGUUAGCCGGUGCUUAUUCUUCAGGUACCGUCAUUAGCCAAGGAUAUUAGCCUCAACCGUUUCUUCCCUGACAAAAGAGCUUUACAACCCGAAGGCCUUCUUCACUCACGCGGCGUUGCUGGAUCAGGCUUGCGCCCAUUGUCCAAAAUUCCCCACUGCUGCCUCCCGUAGGAGUCUGGACCGUGUCUCAGUUCCAGUGUGGCUGGUCGUCCUCUCAGACCAGCUACUGAUCGUCGCCUUGGUGAGCCUUUACCUCACCAACUAGCUAAUCAGAUAUCGGCCGCUCCAGGAGCAUGAGGUUCUUGCGAAUCCCCAUUUCAUCCUUGGAUCGUAUGCGGUAUUAGCGUAACUUUCGCUUACGUUAUCCCCACUCUUGGGUACGUUCCGAUAUAUUACUCACCCGUUCGCCACUCGCCGCCAGGUUCGCCCCGCGCUGCCGUUCGACUUGCAUGUGUAAAGCAUGCCGCCAGCGUUCAAUCUGAGCCAGGAUA